ACGUAGGGUGCGAGCGUUAAUCGGAAUUACUGGGCGUAAAGGGUGCGCAGGUGGUUUUGUAAGUCAGAUGUGAAAUCCCCGGGCUUAACCUGGGAAUUGCGUUUGUGACUGCACGGCUAGAGUGUGUCAGAGGGGGGUAGAAUUCCACGUGUAGCAGUGAAAUGCGUAGAUAUGUGGAGGAAUACCGAUGGCGAAGGCAGCCCCCUGGGAUAACACUGACGCUCAUGCACGAAAGCGUGGGGAGCAAACAGGA
This 253-nucleotide ribosomal RNA is filed under the name uncultured prokaryote. RNAcentral's name for it is "partial 16S ribosomal RNA". It matches the Rfam family "Bacterial small subunit ribosomal RNA", at positions 525 to 777 of the family's 1533-position model. The record is from RNAcentral.